RNAcentral lists this ribosomal RNA (819 nucleotides) under Neobacillus niacini. RNAcentral's name for it is "bacterial SSU rRNA". It matches the Rfam family "Bacterial small subunit ribosomal RNA", at positions 79 to 883 of the family's 1533-position model. Lineage: Bacteria; Bacillati; Bacillota; Bacilli; Caryophanales; Bacillaceae. The record is from RNAcentral.
UUGCACCUCUUGGUUAGCGGCGGACGGGUGAGUAACACGUGGGCAACCUGCCUGUAAGACUGGGAUAACACCGGGAAACCGGUGCUAAUACCGGAUAAUCCUUUUCCUCUCAUGAGGAAAAGCUGAAAGUCGGUUUACGCUGACACUUACAGAUGGGCCCGCGGCGCAUUAGCUAGUUGGUGAGGUAACGGCUCACCAAGGCGACGAUGCGUAGCCGACCUGAGAGGGUGAUCGGCCACACUGGGACUGAGACACGGCCCAGACUCCUACGGGAGGCAGCAGUAGGGAAUCUUCCGCAAUGGACGAAAGUCUGACGGAGCAACGCCGCGUGAGCGAUGAAGGCCUUCGGGUCGUAAAGCUCUGUUGUUAGGGAAGAACAAGUACCGGAGUAACUGCCGGUACCUUGACGGUACCUAACCAGAAAGCCACGGCUAACUACGUGCCAGCAGCCGCGGUAAUACGUAGGUGGCAAGCGUUGUCCGGAAUUAUUGGGCGUAAAGCGCGCGCAGGCGGUCCUUUAAGUCUGAUGUGAAAGCCCACGGCUCAACCGUGGAGGGUCAUUGGAAACUGGGGGACUUGAGUACAGAAGAGGAAAGCGGAAUUCCACGUGUAGCGGUGAAAUGCGUAGAGAUGUGGAGGAACACCAGUGGCGAAGGCGGCUUUCUGGUCUGUAACUGACGCUGAGCGCGAAAGCGUGGGGAGCAAACAGGAUUAGAUACCCCUGGUAGUCCACGCCGUAAACGAUGAGUGCUAAGUGUUAGAGGGUUUCCGCCCUUUAGUGCUGCAGCUAACGCAUUAAGCACUCCGCCUGGGGAGUAC